RNAcentral lists this ribosomal RNA (253 nucleotides) under uncultured bacterium. Its description in RNAcentral is "partial 16S ribosomal RNA". It matches the Rfam family "Bacterial small subunit ribosomal RNA", at positions 524 to 776 of the family's 1533-position model. The record is from RNAcentral.
UACGUAGGUGGCAAGCGUUAUCCGGAUUUACUGGGUGUAAAGGGCGUGUAGGCGGGACUGCAAGUCAGAUGUGAAACCCAUGGGCUCAACCCAUGGCCUGCAUUUGAAACUGUAGUUCUUGAGUGAUGGAGAGGCAGGCGGAAUUCCGUGUGUAGCGGUGAAAUGCGUAGAUAUACGGAGGAACACCAGUGGCGAAGGCGGCCUGCUGGACAUUAACUGACGCUGAGGCGCGAAAGCGUGGGGAGCAGGCAGG